Molecule: ribosomal RNA, 465 nt
Filed under: Vreelandella stevensii
Lineage: Bacteria; Pseudomonadati; Pseudomonadota; Gammaproteobacteria; Oceanospirillales; Halomonadaceae
Description: partial 16S ribosomal RNA
Rfam family: Bacterial small subunit ribosomal RNA
Source: RNAcentral
CCUACGGGAGGCAGCAGUGGGGAAUAUUGGACAAUGGGCGAAAGCCUGAUCCAGCCAUGCCGCGUGUGUGAAGAAGGCCUUCGGGUUGUAAAGCACUUUCAGUGGGGAAGAAAGCCUUGGGGCUAAUACCCUCGAGGAAGGACAUCACCCACAGAAGAAGCACCGGCUAACUCCGUGCCAGCAGCCGCGGUAAUACGGAGGGUGCGAGCGUUAAUCGGAAUUACUGGGCGUAAAGCGCGCGUAGGCGGUCUGAUAAGCCGGUUGUGAAAGCCCCGGGCUCAACCUGGGAACGGCAUCCGGAACUGUCAGGCUAGAGUGCAGGAGAGGAAGGUAGAAUUCCCGGUGUAGCGGUGAAAUGCGUAGAGAUCGGGAGGAAUACCAGUGGCGAAGGCGGCCUUCUGGACUGACACUGACGCUGAGGUGCGAAAGCGUGGGUAGCAAACAGGAUUAGAUACACGUGUAGUC